This 839-nucleotide long non-coding RNA is filed under the name Homo sapiens (human). RNAcentral describes it as "HSALNT0382690". Lineage: Eukaryota; Metazoa; Chordata; Mammalia; Primates; Hominidae. The record is from RNAcentral.
GCCACGCGCUCGCAGGUCCCAAGGCCAGGCUGGGCGGGACUGUUAAGGGAGCUCGAAGUCGGGGGCCGGGGGCUUCCCGUCCCGGCGCUUCCCAUGCAAACCCCUGAAGGAAGCGGCAGGCGCAGCCGCGGGCUCCGCAGCCCAGGCCCACUUCCUGUCACUCCAGGAAAACCUCGGAGCGGCGGACGCGGCUCGGCCCGGCUUCCAGCCCAGAGCCCAAGCGCCUUAGCCCCGUCCCAGCGCUUUCUGAAAGACGGGCCACCUCGCGCGGAGCCGCGACAAGGACUCCAGGGUCCGCAGUGAAGCUGGUCAAAUCUGCCCCGCACACGGUCAACGCUCGGUCUGUGUCCCGGAAGCUUUCGGACCGGACCUGUCUAAAUAGCGACUUUCAGUCGUGGGUUUUUUGUUCUUGUGGGUUUGUUUUGUUUUUUGUUGUUGUUGUUGCUCUACAAAAGAUUUGUCCCGCAGUGGACGGGAGCCUCCUCACGGCCGCCCGCCCGUCUCCGCAGUUCUCCUCAGUGACCGGAGGCUGCCGCGCGCCCCGUUCUCCAGAGAAACAAUCCCCGGAGAGAAAGACGGCCAGUGUGAAAUAUCAGCUGUUUCACAAAUUCUGAGAGAGCUGUAUUAUUGUCAUUUCACUGGAAUGAAUUCACCUACUGAUUAUUGAUUUAGAACUUCAUGCAAGAGUGGGGACCAGACCCAAGAUCACCACGUAAAACUGAGAUUAAGCCUCUAGAGUCAUACAGCUAAGAGGACUGGGCCUACCUAGCCAGGAUGCGAACGUCACAGAAUGAAAAAUGCCUGGGAAAAUGUGGCCAGGAGAAAUAGUACUUUUCACU